AUAGGGCAAAUCUCCAAAAUAGCACCUUUCUAAGUUUAUAUCACAAAAAUAACACUCAAAAACUAAAAUGACCAAAAUAGCACCUUUCUAAGUUUAUCCUUUGAAAAUUUUAAUUUUUUUUAUUUUUCAAAAUUUGAAAACUUAUCCCAAAACCUCAUUUCUCAACUCUAAACUCUAAACCCUAAACCUUAAACUCUAAACCCUAAACCAUAAACCCUAAACCCUAAACUCUAAACCCUAAACCCUAAAAUCUAAACCCUAAACCCUAAACCCUAAACUCUAAACCCUAAACCCUAAAUCCUAAACCCUAAAUCCUAAACCCCACCCUUUAACU
RNAcentral lists this long non-coding RNA (334 nucleotides) under Brassica napus (rape). RNAcentral describes it as "long non-coding RNA (BNAP_LNC025409)". The record is from RNAcentral. Lineage: Eukaryota; Viridiplantae; Streptophyta; Magnoliopsida; Brassicales; Brassicaceae.